GAUGAACGCUGGCGGCGUGCCUAAUACAUGCAAGUCGAGCGAACAGACGAGGAGCUUGCUCCUUCGACGUUAGCGGCGGACGGGUGAGUAACACGUAGGUAACCUACCUAUAAGACUGGGAUAACUUCGGGAAACCGGAGCUAAUACCGGAUAAUAUUUCGAACCGCAUGGUUCGAUAGUGAAAGAUGGCUUUGCUAUCACUUAUAGAUGGACCUGCGCCGUAUUAGCUAGUUGGUAAGGUAACGGCUUACCAAGGCAACGAUACGUAGCCGACCUGAGAGGGUGAUCGGCCACACUGGAACUGAGACACGGUCCAGACUCCUACGGGAGGCAGCAGUAGGGAAUCUUCCGCAAUGGACGAAAGCCUGACGGAGCAACGCCGCGUGAGUGAUGAAGGUCUUCGGAUCGUAAAACUCUGUUAUUAGGGAAGAACAAACGUGUAAGUAACUGUGCACGUCUUGACGUUACCUAAUCAGAAAGCCACGGCUAACUACGUG
Molecule: ribosomal RNA, 497 nt
Filed under: uncultured bacterium
Lineage: Bacteria
Description: partial 16S ribosomal RNA
Rfam family: Bacterial small subunit ribosomal RNA
Source: RNAcentral